This 253-nucleotide ribosomal RNA is filed under the name uncultured bacterium. RNAcentral describes it as "partial 16S ribosomal RNA". It matches the Rfam family "Bacterial small subunit ribosomal RNA", at positions 524 to 776 of the family's 1533-position model. The record is from RNAcentral.
UACAGAGGUCUCAAGCGUUGUUCGGAAUUACUGGGCGUAAAGGGCUCGUAGGUGGCCAACUAAGUCAUACGUGAAAUCCCUCGGCUUAACCGGGGAACUGCGUCUGAUACUGGUUGGCUUGAGUUUGGGAGAGGGAUGCGGAAUUCCAGGUGUAGCGGUGAAAUGCGUAGAUAUCUGGAGGAACACCGGUGGCGAAGGCGGCAUCCUGGACCAAUACUGACACUGAGGAGCGAAAGCCAGGGGAGCAAACGGG